This 439-nucleotide ribosomal RNA is filed under the name uncultured bacterium. RNAcentral describes it as "bacterial SSU rRNA". It matches the Rfam family "Bacterial small subunit ribosomal RNA", at positions 28 to 450 of the family's 1533-position model. The record is from RNAcentral.
GAUGAACGCUGGCGGCGUGCUUAACACAUGCAAGUCGAACGGGAAACCUUUUAUUGAAGCUUCGGCAGAUUUAACUGGUUUCUAGUGGCGGACGGGUGAGUAACGCGUGGGUAACCUGCCUUGUACAGGGGGAUAACAGUCAGAAAUGACUGCUAAUACCGCAUAAGCGCACAGGACCGCAUGGUCCGGUGUGAAAAACUCCGGUGGUAUAAGAUGGACCCGCGUUGGAUUAGCUAGUUGGCAGGGUAACGGCCUACCAAGGCGACGAUCCAUAGCCGGCCUGAGAGGGUGAACGGCCACAUUGGGACUGAGACACGGCCCAGACUCCUACGGGAGGCAGCAGUGGGGAAUAUUGCACAAUGGGGGAAACCCUGAUGCAGCGACGCCGCGUGAAGGAAGAAGUAUCUCGGUAUGUAAACUUCUAUCAGCAGGGAAGAAA